Long non-coding RNA from Triticum aestivum (bread wheat), 1752 nucleotides. RefSeq lists it as uncharacterized. The transcript is spliced from 3 exons. Lineage: Eukaryota; Viridiplantae; Streptophyta; Magnoliopsida; Poales; Poaceae. The record is from RefSeq and is a predicted model, not a curated record.
UGGGAGGGGGCGGGAGGGGGCUUACCCCCCCAUAUUUAGGGGGAUCCUUUCCCCGGCAUGACACCACAAUAUAUUUGUUCAAUGGUUGCUUAUGGUUGAGUAUAUGUAUGUUAUAACCAUCAUCUGUAUCAUUUAAUCACAGUUACAUGGUAUAUUAAGACCUCAUUUGAUAAAUAAAAUUACUUUAUAUAUAUAAUUAUAACUUAAUAAUGAUUUUCAUGAUAUGCAAUAUAUACUGAUGAAAGUAUUACUUCUACUCUUUUAUACACGUUAGGGCCAAUGUAUAAAAUUCGCACUAGGGCCUCCAAAAUAUUAGGGCCGGCCCAGAUCUGCUAGAACAGUUUUUAUUCUCCUUCCAGUAUUUUGUAGUACCUAUGAAUUGGCCCUUUUACAAAUCUCUUAUCAUAGUUUUUCAUGUGAAACUGAAUGCAGAGGCUGGUACUUCAGCAUAUCGUCCAAAGACCUUUUCGAAGAAGAAGGCAAGAGUCAAUUGAGGAGGAAAGGGAUGAAGAGGUUGAGAAGACUGAAAUGAUGGGAAGCUUCUUGAAAAAUGGCCCCUUGCAUAUGGGCCUUUGGAGAGUGUCACAGAUUAGUACGUUGCUCUGUCUAAAUUGGUACCGUGUGGUAUGAAGCAACUGAAUGUUGCUCUUCCUCUGCUGGCAAUGCUGCAUACCCCGCGAACAUGGAGGCUGAAACGAGUGAUGAUGGCUUGAUUUGUUGAAUGAAGGAGCAGAUUAUAUACGUCUUGAAGAAAGAAAGACAGGGAAGCAAGAAGAUUGUCGUGUGACUGCAGGUGGUGUGCAUAUAUAUCUGAAGAUGGUACAGAAUCUACCAGUUGUGACUGCAACCAGCUGAAUCUCAACUCGUGCGACGACCACCAUGACGAUGGUGGUCAUGGACCGAUGACGACAGGGAUGGCGAGAAGUAGCUCUGUUUCCCCCCAGGCUGGUAGGAAAAGAAAGAGAAUUCAUAGGCCAUGUAUGCUGUAGUUGCUUUCAUGUGUGACAAAAGGGAAGAAAACAGGAGCAAUCCAGAAGGAAUAAGCAGAAUGUGCAGCAACAUGUACAGUAGAGGCCAGUCCUCCUCCCAUCCGUUCCCAUCAUCAUCAUGUCAUGUGUAUGCCACAAGCAAAAGGCAUGUCCUAAACUAGUACUCCCUCCGUUCAGAAUUACUUGUCGCAGAAAUGGAUGUAUCUAGACGUAUUUUAGUUUUAGAUACAUCCAUUUCUGAGACAAGUAAUUCCGAACGGAGGGAGUACACUGGACCAGACUUAUGUGUGUGUGUGUGUAACACAAGUAGACAAGCAAAGGAACAGGUAGUGUGCUUACCAGUGAAGGGAUAAAAGGCAUCUAUAUGGAUACUGGUGAUGCAGCAUCACCCAUAUUUAUUCAUGAUGUGGAUUGUGACACUGUGAGAGCUUUUCAAAGAAAAAGGAAGGAGAAAAUGAUGGGAAGAGGUCAAGAGGAGUGGUGUGGACAUGCAACUAACUGUAUCAUGUAUCAGGCAGGACAGACAGCAGCAAAAGCAAUUCAGCCUUGAGCAAAAGCAAGAAGCUGUAUGUGAAGAUUUUAGCAGCAGGUAGAGGUAGGGACUGCACACCAUAUGUACUACAGAAUUGUUGUUACACUUAGAUACAUACAGAGAGUCCUAAUUGUUACGGGCAUGAUUUGUUUUACUUUUUGCUGGACAAACAAGAUCAACUUCUUUUUGUUGGUUGGUGGGGUGAUGUUAUCUGAUUGCUGAUUGGGGACA